This 81-nucleotide ribosomal RNA is filed under the name Proteus vulgaris. Lineage: Bacteria; Pseudomonadati; Pseudomonadota; Gammaproteobacteria; Enterobacterales; Morganellaceae. The record is from RNAcentral.
UGGCGGCCAUAGCGCAACGGUCCACCUGAUCCCAUGCCGAACUCAGAAGUGAAACGUUGUAGCGCCGAUGGUAGUGUGGGG